CAUCGCUGAAUGCGGAGAAAUACAACAUAUUUAAAAAUGUAAUCUCCAUCAUCUGAUAUGUCAAAGUGGUUAUGUUCCUGGUAUGGAAUAAAGUUAUUUCUAAUAUGAAUUUAUGUCAUUUGUUAAUUCUAAUAGGCUAACAACCAGUAUCUUCUAUACAAAAGAUUCGGUUCUCAAGCUGGCAUUCUAUCUCAAAGAAAUAAGCAGACAAAGAGUAGAGGUGCCUUGAGGCAGAAUACUUCUAUCAAAUGGACUUUGGUACAGAAUAACUGCUAGCUUAUCCAUGGUACUGAACUUUAAAAACCAGCCACACUUCCAAGGCACCAUUUCUUCUGACAUUCUCAGAACAGUAAAAGUGUUCUGCUGAAACGAAGAAAAUAUAAAACUUCCUCCAAAAUAAGAAAUUUUAUCCUGGAGCAAGGCACUUCUCCCACACACAAUGAUUCAUAUAAUCAGUUUGACAAAGUGCUUUGCAAAUGUAGCUCACUACAUAUUAUACAGACAGACUGAAGUCUGGAUACCUUGUGCCAACCACGAUGUCACCAUUGUCUAACACACAGCAGCUCCAAACAGACUGAGCUGGAAGUCUGAUUAUCUGAGCACAUUCCCCUCGUUUCCAGAUCCUAAGUGACCUGUCCUCUCCAGUGGUUACGAAAUCUGAAAAAAAAAAAAAAAAAAUAUAUAUAUAUAUAAGUUUAAUAUAACAAACAAAGAUAAAAAGGUACAAAGUACCUUCCUGCAGGUAAAUACUUAACAAUUAAAUACUUCUUGUGUCUCCUUAAAGAGGCCUACAGGGAAAGAAGGAUAAAAUAGUCAUUACUCAUUCUUCUUUCUGAAAAAAGUGUUCAAGUGUGUAAACUGGUGGGCUGAUCCACUAGCCGGUGAAGGUGAAAUUAUGCUCUAAAACAGCACAGUUCCAGUUUCCUUCUCAGGGGUUUAACAACAAAAAAAAGCCAAAAAAAGCCAAAAUAAUCUCACCAUCAUCAGGUCAUUGUCUUCCCCUGGGUCUGCAAGACUUCAGUCUUCACAGCCCUCCCUAGUGGAGGCUUUCUGCCAGCUGGCUCCUGCCUCCUACAGGUGUCCCCUUUGAAGGCCUUACAGGUGCAAGAAAGUCCUCUUCUAGAUUCUUCCCAAACCCUGGGCCUCUCCCAUCUGCCCACAAGGCAGGAAACCUCAUAUGCUAUUUUCUGUUGAGCACAUAACUAGGAGAAACAUGCGACCCGCUACUACAGCUGUCAGUUUUAAAGAGUACAAGUACUGUAACAAAUGCACUGAGACAUGUGCAUGCACCCCUGAGGCCCCACGCUCUGUUACAGUGCUUUUGGAGCUUUACUUUUCACCAAGUGUGCAAACAUUCUAUACAUCAUAGAAAGGUCUUAUGAUUAACACACAAACCUGAGAAUCAACUUCUUCUGUGACCUUGGGCAAAUAACAGUCCUGAGACUCUGUUUUCACAUCUAACUCUCUGAUAUGUAAUGAAGAUUACAUAAUUAACAUUUGCAGCAUGCUCCGAGAUCCUUCUGCAGAAGUUGCUACAGGAAUAGUAAGCAUUUUCUCUAAGACUAUUGCUAUAUACAAGUAUCAUUUUUGCAUUAUGCUAGGAUACUGAUAGGCAGACGGCAACCCGGGCUGAGUUCCUGGCCCUGUUGAAGUCAAUGGGAGUUCUGCCAUUGACUUGGGUGGGCCGGGAUUUCACCUGAUUCCCAGGACCUUUUGGAUCAUAUCUAUUUUCUGAGCAAUUUUGAACCCAGAUGUUCAAGAACGUUUCUCCUCCAGUGACAUGUUAAUUGUCCAAACAGAAAAAUACAGAAAAUAUAAUCCGAGUUCUUUCAUCAGCUUUCUAUAAUGGUACCAGAACUACCAUUCAUUUUGAAAAGCUAUUUUACUUUGGAAGUAAAGUCUUACCUUUACAAUGAGGGAAGACCGAUAUGCUGUAUAUAUAAUUUGUAUGUCCGUAAUAAAUUUGAAGACACUCGCCCGAGAUCUGCCACCUUCGAAUACUCGCAUCAUUAGCACACGAAAGAAAUUCUGUGUCACUUAAAAUUGCUAAACCUCUCACACAAUCUUCGUGUCCUUUAUAAAGGAAAGAAAAAGGUUUUAUGAACAACCAAAUAUUGUUUUCAGCAGCAGCAGCUUAACACACCAAUAUCUUAUUUUGCAAUUUCUUUAUCCUAGAAACUGAUGUUUAAUAAAAAUCCAGUUUUAAAAAAAAAUUCCUUUGCUUAGCACUUUCUGAAAAUCAGGCCUCUUUAACGUGUCUCAAGUUGGGUACCCAAAAAUCACUAGCCACUUUUCAAAAAUCUUGGUCUAAAUAUUAAGUUACUUGAAUCCAUGAAAUUUUCACAAACAGGAAGUUGAUUUACAAAGAUGUCAAAUUAGAAAAUACUCUCCAUUUUACCCAAAUACUUACCAGUGAAUGUUCUCUCGCAUCUGCCGGCUUUCCAUAGAUUAAUAGUUUUGUCAGCUGAACCAGUCAACAUUAAUCCCUGUUCAGGCAAUAUCUUCACUGCCCAUACUGCAGCUGUAUGACCCUGUGAACAAGAACAGUGUUACAAUAGCUAGAGAACAACUGAAUUUACAAAGCUGUUCAAUUAAUCAUUGGAUAUACUCAUGAAGAACUACUAUACCUGCAAUGUCAUCAUGCAUUUGUCAUUCAACCAGACUUUAGCCGUCGUAUCCCAUGAGCCACUAAGCAAUGUGCCAAAUUUCCCAGAUGAAAGGCUGCAAACUGGAACAAAUAUUCAAAUCAGCAUUGACACAUUCCUAUCCUCUGCCCCUUUCUUAUUCCAGUAACAUAUGGAAGGAGAUUUUUCUUAUGUUGCAGCAUAUAUUCAUGGAAUGCAAUUUUUUUUUAAAGUUGUUUCCAGGGCAAGCUUUUGGGCUUUUCCUCUUCUACUCUGGAAAGGGAAUUUAGCAUGCUUGCAGUCACAGUGCUAACUAGAACUUAAUGCUUCAGAGGACAUCUCUGUAACACAGCGGACCAUUGGAGCUGGCUGGCAAACGGUUCACUGUUCUAUAACAGCAACUCCUAGCAGGCCGGACUAACUCACUACACCUAGCACACAGCUUUCAUGGUAUUUAUCCAUAAAUGAUGUCAUGUAAGAGCUUAAAUGAAAAAAGCAUCACGCUGAUUAUUAACAUCAUUGUGAAAUAUAUGUAUAAUGAAAACAUAUUCCUAAAGUCUGAAUCUAGACAGGGCUCACAAACAGGUUUCUGCCAGACAGACAAAGGAUGUAUAUUCACCUGUCUCG
Dermochelys coriacea (leatherback sea turtle) is the source of this 3251-nucleotide long non-coding RNA. RefSeq lists it as uncharacterized. The transcript is spliced from 3 exons. The record is from RefSeq and is a predicted model, not a curated record. NCBI's taxonomy places the organism in Eukaryota, Metazoa, Chordata, Testudines, Dermochelyidae.